GAUGAACGCUGGCGGCGUGCCUAAUACAUGCAAGUCGAGCGAACAGACGAGGAGCUUGCUCCUCUGGCGUUAGCGGCGGACGGGUGAGUAACAUGUGGAUAUCCUACCUAUAAGACUAGGAUAACUUCGGGAACCCGGAGCUACUACCGACUAAUAUAUGAAACCGCAUGGUUCAAUAGUGAAAGACGGUUUUGCUGUCACUUGUAGAUGGAUCCGCGCCGCAUUAGCUAGUUGGUAAGGUAACGGCCUACCAAGGCAACGAUGCGUAGCCGACCUGAGCGGGCGAUCGGCCACACUGGAACUGAGACACGGCCCAGACUCCUACGGGAGGCAGCAGUAGGGAAUUUUCCGCAAUGGGCGAAAGCCUGAUCGAGCAACGCCGCGUGAGUGAUGAAGGUCUUCGGAUCGUAAAACUCUUUUAUUAGGGAAGAACAAAUUUGUACGUAACCAGUCACGUCUUGACGGUACCGAAUCAGAAAGCCCCGGCUAACUACGUG
RNAcentral lists this ribosomal RNA (497 nucleotides) under uncultured bacterium. RNAcentral's name for it is "partial 16S ribosomal RNA". It matches the Rfam family "Bacterial small subunit ribosomal RNA", at positions 28 to 507 of the family's 1533-position model. The record is from RNAcentral.